GCUGUGAUGGCCAGGUGGUUAAGGCAUUAUCUCGACUCGAAAUCAAAUGGGCUGGGCCUGCGCAAGUUCGAAUCGUGCUCUCAGCG
Molecule: transfer RNA, 86 nt
Filed under: Dreissena polymorpha
Lineage: Eukaryota; Metazoa; Mollusca; Bivalvia; Myida; Dreissenidae
Description: tRNA-Ser
Rfam family: tRNA
About the family: Transfer RNA (tRNA) molecules are approximately 80 nucleotides in length. Their secondary structure includes four short double-helical elements and three loops (D, anti-codon, and T loops).
Source: RNAcentral